UUAAUUCGAUGCAACGCGAAGAACCUUACCUACUCUUGACAUCCAGAGAAGCCAGCGGAGACGCAGGUGUGCCUUCGGGAACUCUGAGACAGGUGCUGCAUGGCUGUCGUCAGCUCGUGUUGUGAAAUGUUGGGUUAAGUCCCGCAACGAGCGCAACCCUUAUCCUUGUUUGCCAGCGAGUAAUGUCGGGAACUCCAGGGAGACUGCCGGUGAUAAACCGGAGGAAGGUGGGGACGACGUCAAGUCAUCAUGGCCCUUACGAGUAGGGCUACACACGUGCUACAAUGGCGCAUACAGAGGGCAGCAAGCUAGCGAUAGUGAGCGAAUCCCAAAAAGUGCGUCGUAGUCCGGAUUGGAGUCUGCAACUCGACUCCAUGAAGUCGGAAUCGCUAGUAAUCG
RNAcentral lists this ribosomal RNA (399 nucleotides) under Vibrio sp. RNAcentral describes it as "bacterial SSU rRNA". It matches the Rfam family "Bacterial small subunit ribosomal RNA", at positions 946 to 1344 of the family's 1533-position model. Lineage: Bacteria; Pseudomonadati; Pseudomonadota; Gammaproteobacteria; Vibrionales; Vibrionaceae. The record is from RNAcentral.